UAAAAAGCUCGUAGUUGGAUCUGUGUCUCGGACGGUCGGUUCGCCGCUCGCGGUGUUUGACUGACCGGUCCGGACGUCAUGCCGGUGGAGCCUCGGCGCAAGCCGGGGCUCCGUAAUGAACCCUCCGCGCUGCUCUUAACCGAGUGGUUCGGUGGGCCGGCACGUUUACUUUGAACAAAUUUGAGUGCUCAAAGCAGGCCUUACGUUGCCUGAAAACUGUGUGCAUGGAAUAAUGGAAUAGGACCUUGGUUUUAUUUUGUUGGCUUUCUGAACUUGAGGUAAUGAUUAACAGGGACAGACGGGGGCAUUCGUAUUGCGACGUUAGAGGUGAAAUUCUUGGAUCGUCGCAAGACGGACCGAUGCGAAAGCGUUUGCCAAGAAUGUUUUCGCUAAUCAAGAACGAAAGUUAGAGGUUCGAAGGCGAUUAGAUACCGCCCUAGUUCUAACCAUAAACGAUGUCAGCCAGCGAUGCGCCGAUGUUCCUCCGAUGACACGGCGCGCAACUUCCGGGAAACCAAAGCUUUUGGGUUCCGGGG
Molecule: ribosomal RNA, 536 nt
Filed under: Afronurus viridis
Lineage: Eukaryota; Metazoa; Arthropoda; Insecta; Ephemeroptera; Heptageniidae
Description: SSU rRNA
Rfam family: Eukaryotic small subunit ribosomal RNA
Source: RNAcentral